Molecule: long non-coding RNA, 3545 nt
Organism: Papaver somniferum (opium poppy)
Lineage: Eukaryota; Viridiplantae; Streptophyta; Magnoliopsida; Ranunculales; Papaveraceae
Exons: 3
Source: RefSeq, a predicted model, not a curated record
UCCUUUGAUCACCGCUAAGGCGCAGCACACCGCAUUGCAUUUGAUAUACAACGUUAGACUCGAUAUCUCCCUUUUUCGCCAAACCCAUAUCCUCUAUGAAUGGUGAUUGCUUUGAGAGAUUAGAGGCAUCAUCCGAAGGCUUCAUGCUCCAACAAGCACGAAUCUAUCUCCUUCAAAAACAACAUUAACGCACCAUCUCCACACUACAAAAGUCUCAAAUCAAUAAACUGCACCAUCUUUCAUUUUUGGUACGAGACGAGUCAUUAUGUCGCACUAAAACUUCUCGAGAGCUGUCAGAGCCUCAUACUAAACCGUCUCCAUGCUAAUCUUUUGAUCCAUCCAAUCUUCUUCUUUCAAAUAUAUUCUCCGUGUACUAUGCCAAACAGAUGUUUGACAGAAUUCCUCAACCAAAAUUAUAAUCAUGGGAAGAGUGGACAACCUCAUUAAGCCUUGGUGCUUCGCGAACAGUUCAAAGAGCUGAGAGUUUAGGCAACUGAGAUCCUUAUUUGGGGUAUCAUCUUAGCUUGCUCACAAUUAAGAAUCUUACCCAGAGUAGAAGAAAUUCUCUUAUGGAUAUGUGGGACAGAAACACUUGUCCAAUUAGUCACUAGUUCGUUACAUAUUUCUGCAAUAGUUCGUUACAACUAUUGCAAAAAUCUAAUAGGAAAAACUUGUCCUGUUAUAGCACUAUGAUCUUGACUUUUGUAAAUCAUGAAAUGGCAAAGGAUGCAAUUCCGCAUUUUUGGCAAAAUUCUGGAAGAAAAUAUUAAACCUGGUCGAGUAACUUUUCUUGCGGUCUUGACCGUUCGUAACCAUGGAGGUCAUGUGAAUGGGGAAAUAGGUUUCUUAAACGAAUGACUGAAGUAGUUAGACUUCAGCCUUUAGAAAGGCAUUGUGCUUGUAAGGUUGAUCUUAUUGACGUGCCGAUGUGUUGACAAAUCGUAGAAAAUAUAUCAGUGUAGAAACCACUCAGAGUGUCUGGAGUUCUUUGCCUGCAGCUUGUAUUAUUUUCAAUAAUACGGAGUUGGCUGAAAUAGCAGCCACAUGGUUAUUUGAGAUUAAACCAGAUUAUACUAGUAAUUAUGUUAUUCUGUCAAACCUUUAUGCUUCUGCUGGAAGGUGGGAUCAUUUCGCAAGAGGUAGAAAGAACAGAGGUUCUAAUUGGAUUUAGUUGCAGCUUGAGGUUCAUGAAUUUGUCACAUUUAGUUUUAAAAUCAUUCAUCAUUUCAUUUAGUUUGAGAAGAUGUGACGCUGACGGGAGAUUAUACAAUGGAGAUCAGAAAAUUCCGAUGGAUCUCAGAAUUCCUGUUAUUUCUUUGUAUCAUCUAUUGCAUCAUUUACCUUUCAUGAACUCUGAAACAAAACCAUCCAUAUGUAGGCCCACUUAAACAGUUGUAAAGAUUUCCAUUUCAAUAUAUAGGCUGGGCGAGUUGAAUUUUCUAUGUCAGUUAAAUAGUUUCCUUCCAUCCCACUUAGUGUAAAUUGCCAUGCUUGAUAUUAUUUAUCUGUUUUUGUAGGUGGUCAAGAAACCAAAACAUUCUUAGUCUUAAUAACUGGUCUUCUAGUAGUCAUAUGUGGGAUUCAGAGAUAAUUUUGUACUUCUUACUGUCAACAGGUGUUCUACUUAAUCAUGUCAAGCGGCAGAACUGCCUUCUUCACGCAGGUCCAACAAAACUUAUAUAAUAAGAUUAUUUAUGUUUUAACAAUGUUCAUGUUCCUUUGAUACUGUUAUUUUCUAUCUAGUUGAUCAAUCAAUAAUCUUCAAUGUGGAACUGUUAACUUGGUAGUUGAAUUUUUGAAAACAGUUUGGCAUAUACUUAGCGUCUCUGUGUUUCUUCUGCCCUAUCCAUAAUACUCAGUGGGAUAAGCCAUAGAACAUCUAAAUAAAUAUGAGAGGUCAUUCUGUAAACUAUAAAACAGUGCUGCAUAUGUCACACAGCAUAUACUUAGUGAUACUUUGGACUCUUAGAACUGUUUCAAUGAGCCCGCCUUGUAAUUGUUGUUCUAAGCUCUAACAAUAAUGAACUGCAAUAUACCUCGUCAAUGCAAUGCUGAACCACUUAAAUUGCUUAGUAUCAAGAUGGACUUCUUGUAAUGCUAGCUUUUUUGUGUCAAGACGGCCAUCUUGUAAUGCUGGCUUUUUGAACCAGAUUUUCUGACAAUUGAAUUGCAUAUUUAUGUAGUGCUUUAAAACUUACUACCAUUUAGAUAGAACGAAUUGUAUGUAACAAGUUUGUAUCUGUUAGGCACUUAGGCUGGUAGCAAAAAUAAACCGGAGAACUAUGAAGUUUCAAUUUUUUGCAAGUUAGCAAGAAGAAGUUCAGCCAUUAUAGUGAUUGUCUAACAAAAAAGCUCUCACCCGGGGAUCUAUUUUCCGGUAUGGCAUAUCUUAUUUUAUUUUAAUAGUUUUCAAUCAAAUCUCUAUAUCUUGAUAAAACUAACAAGAUUAAGUUAAGAUACUGUUCCACAGAGCCAAUUGUGAGCAGAGGAGAAUAACCUUCUUCCAUGUGGUACAGUCAAUGGUUGUAGCUUUUAUGAACCUAUUAAAAUACACCAUUAUGCAAAGGGGAUAGAUUCCUAUGCUUCAAACCAUUAAUUCUGUUUCUGCAAAUCCAUAGCCUAGUUCUAAAAACCAUUUGUCAACUGUCUGGUCAAGUGGGUGUAAAUUAUAAUAUUGCAGAGAUGAUGCUUCAGAUUGUACAAGACAUGAGAAAUGUAUUAGCGGCUUGCACCUUCGAUAUUCCCAUCUUAUCUAUUUAAAAACUUUGGGACAAUAAGCAGACGUGAUAGUUGGUUGAUGCCGUUCCCAAAUUGUUUAUGUAAGAAAGUUACUCUUAUAAGUUUUUAAAAGUUAGGUGGCCAGUUCUUAAAAAGCAUUUAUUGUUUGUGAUUAAAUGAUAGAUAUAAGAAUGUAGUUUACGUCAUGAUGGUCGUUUCCGUUUAUAUAGUUAAUGUAUGUGUUAUAGCAAACCAAAACAUUAUUGAACAUAUUAAAGAUUGGAGAACAACAAUAGAUGAAGUACAAGUCCAUCCAACAUAGCUAAAAAUUUCAAGAAUCGUGGUACUUGUAAAUCUGAAAAUGCGUUAUGUCUAACAUAUGUUCUUUUCUACUUUAUAUGAACUGGGGUUAAUUGCAGUCUUAGACAUUGCAUGAUGGAGCAAAGACUUUUAACUACAAAAGAGGUACAUGAACCAACUGCAGAAAUAAGUAACUGUACAUCAUACACAUAACAUGUGAGGAUGUUCUUUCUUUUAAUAACAGGAACUUGGACAAACCUUCACUAGUUUACUACAUGGACAGUCAAAAGUCUCCUAAUUUACAUAAUCACUAGCAGUGGAAUAAGUAUACAGAAUCAGCAACGGGUGCGGCUUUCCACUACCGUUUCUUUGCUUGACAUGUAGCAUAUUGAGAUCGGAAACAUAUAUAGAAAUUUCAGAGAGAUAUGGUAAAAUACUGAGCCAGUGGAUAUCCCACCAGGUCUGCAUCAACUUUUAAGGGAUAUGUUCAUGUGGUAAGUAUGGACCAAACUGAAGGAAUAAGUCUG